GCGAAUCGACGGGAGCUUGCUCCCUGAGAUUAGCGGCGGACGGGUGAGUAACACGUGGGCAACCUGCCUAUAAGACUGGGAUAACUUCGGGAAACCGGAGCUAAUACCGGAUACGUUCUUUUCUCGCAUGAGAGAAGAUGGAAAGACGGUUUACGCUGUCACUUAUAGAUGGGCCCGCGGCGCAUUAGCUAGUUGGUGAGGUAAUGGCUCACCAAGGCGACGAUGCGUAGCCGACCUGAGAGGGUGAUCGGCCACACUGGGACUGAGACACGGCCCAGACUCCUACGGGAGGCAGCAGUAGGGAAUCUUCCGCAAUGGACGAAAGUCUGACGGAGCAACGCCGCGUGAACGAAGAAGGCCUUCGGGUCGUAAAGUUCUGUUGUUAGGGAAGAACAAGUACCAGAGUAACUGCUGGUACCUUGACGGUACCUAACCAGAAAGCCACGGCUAACUACGUGCCAGCAGCCGCGGUAAUACGUAGGUGGCAAGCGUUGUCCGGAAUUAUUGGGCGUAAAGCGCGCGCAGGUGGUUCCUUAAGUCUGAUGUGAAAGCCCACGGCUCAACCGUGGAGGGUCAUUGGAAACUGGGGAACUUGAGUGCAGAAGAGGAAAGUGGAAUUCCAAGUGUAGCGGUGAAAUGCGUAGAGAUUUGGAGGAACACCAGUGGCGAAGGCGACUUUCUGGUCUGUAACUGACACUG
RNAcentral lists this ribosomal RNA (699 nucleotides) under Peribacillus muralis. Its description in RNAcentral is "bacterial SSU rRNA". It matches the Rfam family "Bacterial small subunit ribosomal RNA", at positions 66 to 748 of the family's 1533-position model. The record is from RNAcentral. Lineage: Bacteria; Bacillati; Bacillota; Bacilli; Caryophanales; Bacillaceae.